Molecule: ribosomal RNA, 495 nt
Filed under: uncultured bacterium
Lineage: Bacteria
Description: partial 16S ribosomal RNA
Rfam family: Bacterial small subunit ribosomal RNA
Source: RNAcentral
GACGAACGCUGGCGGCGUGCCUAAUACAUGCAAGUAGAACGCUGAAGGAGGAGCUUGCUUCUCUGGAUGAGUUGCGAACGGGUGAGUAACGCGUAGGUAACCUGCCUGGUAGCGGGGGAUAACUAUUGGAAACGAUAGCUAAUACCGCAUAAGAGUAGAUGUUGCAUGACAUUUGCUUAAAAGUUGCAAUUGCAUCACUACCAGAUGGACCUGCGUUGUAUUAGCUAGUUGGUGGGGUAACGGCUUACCAAGGCGACGAUACAUAGCCGACCUGAGAGGGUGAUCGGCCACACUGGGACUGAGACACGGCCCAGACUCCUACGGGAGGCAGCAGUAGGGAAUCUUCGGCAAUGGACGGAAGUCUGACCGAGCAACGCCGCGUGAGUGAAGAAGGUUUUCGGAUCGUAAAGCUCUGUUGUAAGAGAAGAACGAGUGUGAGAGUGGAAAGUUCACACUGUGACGGUAUCUUACCAGAAAGGGACGGCUAACUACGUG